CAACCGUUACCAUAACAAAUCUCUCAUUGAUGAAUUCAACUGAGAGAAUAUCGCAGACAGGAAAAGAAAGCCAUAUAACAGACGUUUCAGAGGAUGGGCGACAAGUGGCACUGGUUACAGAACAUUCACAGAACGGAAAAAAGAAGGCACUCCAUCCCAUAGCUGAUGAUGGACAGCUGCGGAGACAAGAAAGUACCGACAGGCGCGUCCGAGGGACAUGAAAAGGAUCCAGCGUGGCAGGGGAGCACACUGGGGAUAAUAUAACACUGAACUUUACAAAUAAUUAUUAUUUUGGCGGUAGUGGAGAAAACGUCAGCACGAAGAAGAUCACUCAAUCGGCAACUGGAACACAGACUGACAACAAUAUCUUUAAAUCAGCGCAGGAUACAUCUAUGAGUGGAGGGAAAUCACGAGUUCGGCUUGACAACGUAAGUGAAAAGGUCCAAGAUCAGUUCCAACAACGCAGACAACAAGCUGCAACAGAAGUUGCUACAGACGUUGCUACAGACCAUGCUACAGAAAUUGCUACAGACCAUGCUAAAGAAUCUGACAAUGACGGAGAACAUCACGUCGCGAGCAGCAUGCAUCCGCAUAACCAGGAAAUCCAACUUUCCAAACAGCUCAAGGAGCGCACCACUCCACAUGAGAAUAGGCACUUCCAGGAAGUUGGAGACAGCAACAUAACAAGGGAUGCCCCGAACGGAGGCUGGACUGCCUCCAAGCAGGGAGCAGAGAAAGUGGAGAUGCAGUUACUGCACAAGCACCUGCUGGAUCAGAUAGAUCAGAGAGACCAAGCCAUUGUUAUGGAACUUUUAGACAGCGUCAUAUAUCAUGCAAAGAAACAGCCCAGGGAACUGCAAACGCUGAUACCGUUGCUGAGGAAGAUGUCACGUGAUAUAGCACCUGGUGUCCCUGUCCAGCAUAACCAGGUAGUUAUUUCUACAAAGGUGACGUCGUGCAGAUGAUCAUUUUUUUAGGAAUUAACUUGUAGACAUAUGGCCCGUGUUGAGAAACUUCCACCUUAAUUACCAGCUGAUGACACUCACUGUUGUGGUAAAAUCCAGAUGGCUGUAUCUGACUACUGUUGAGUUAGAGACUCUCCGAAUCCUUGUAUCUACCUGUGGAAGUGAGUUAAAGACUCUCGGAAGGGCUCUAUAUAACUAUGAUGAGUUAUAGUACAUCCCUGGUGAAGGCAUCUGAGAAGUGUGUUCUGGUACGUUACUUAGUCUUGUGUGAUAGGUAUUUAACAGCUCUGAUGUUGCAUCGUUGCCAUGAUGAUCCGAGAUACAACAUCGAUGCUGUAUUUGAUUGCCGUGGUGAAUAACAGUCCUUGAAAAAAUCCCA
RNAcentral lists this unclassified non-coding RNA (1344 nucleotides) under Haliotis rubra (blacklip abalone). RNAcentral describes it as "uncharacterized LOC124253302, transcript variant X7". The record is from RNAcentral. Lineage: Eukaryota; Metazoa; Mollusca; Gastropoda; Lepetellida; Haliotidae.